RNAcentral lists this ribosomal RNA (429 nucleotides) under Chloroflexota bacterium. RNAcentral's name for it is "Chloroflexi bacterium partial 16S ribosomal RNA". It matches the Rfam family "Bacterial small subunit ribosomal RNA", at positions 355 to 776 of the family's 1533-position model. The record is from RNAcentral. Lineage: Bacteria; Bacillati; Chloroflexota.
UGGGGAAUAUUGCACAAUGGGCGCAAGCCUGAUGCAGCCAUGCCGCGUGUGUGAAGAAGGCCUUCGGGUUGUAAAGCACUUUCAGCGGGGAGGAAGGCGUUAAGGUUAAUAACCUUGGCAAUUGACGUUACCGACAGAAGAAGCACCGGCUAACUCCGUGCCAGCAGCCGCGGUAAUACGGAGGGUACAAGCGUUAAUCGGAAUUACUGGGCGUAAAGCGCACGCAGGCGGUUGAUUGAGUCAGAUGUGAAAUCCCCGGGCUUAACCCGGGAAUUGCAUCUGAUACUGGUCAGCUAGAGUCUUGUAGAGGGGGGUAGAAUUCCAUGUGUAGCGGUGAAAUGCGUAGAGAUGUGGAGGAAUACCGGUGGCGAAGGCGGCCCCCUGGACAAAGACUGACGCUCAGGUGCGAAAGCGUGGGGAGCAAACAGG